UGGUGUAGUGAUUUGUCUGGUUAAUUCCAUUAACGAAUGAGACUUCUACCUCCUAAAUCGAUUGGUUAGUGAAUCAUGUUAAAGGGAUUUAUGUGCCUUGUAUUAGAUGCAGGAAUAUUACAGCAAUAACA
This 131-nucleotide ribosomal RNA is filed under the name uncultured eukaryote. Its description in RNAcentral is "partial 18S ribosomal RNA". The record is from RNAcentral.